CGCAGCCGCGGUAAUUCCAGCUCCAAUAGCGUAUAUUAAAGUUGUUGCAGUUAAAAAGCUCGUAGUUGAAUUUCGGGGUUAGUAGGUUGGUCAUGCCUCCGGUAUGUACUGGUCUCACUGAUUCCUCCUUCCUGAUGAAUCGUAAUGCCAUUAAUUUGGUGUUGUGGGGAAUUUGGACUGUUACUUUGAAAAAAUUGAGUGUUUAAAGCAAGCUAACGCUUGAAUACAUUAGCAUGGAAUAAUGAAAUAGGACGUUCGAUCCUAUUUUGUUGGUUUCUAGGAUUGACGUAACGAUUAAUAGGGAUAGUUGGGGGCAUUAGUAUUCAAUUGUCAGAGGUGAAAUUCUUGGAUUUAUUGAAGACUAACUACUGCGAAAGC
Molecule: ribosomal RNA, 378 nt
Filed under: uncultured Glomeromycotina
Lineage: Eukaryota; Fungi; Glomeromycota
Description: SSU rRNA
Rfam family: Eukaryotic small subunit ribosomal RNA
Source: RNAcentral